Molecule: non-coding RNA, 46 nt
Organism: Aedes aegypti (yellow fever mosquito)
Lineage: Eukaryota; Metazoa; Arthropoda; Insecta; Diptera; Culicidae
Source: Rfam
AAAUCAGUCCUUUUCAGGACUACAGCACAUAUUGCACAAAAGAGUU